Rhagoletis pomonella (apple maggot) is the source of this 542-nucleotide long non-coding RNA. RefSeq lists it as uncharacterized. The transcript is spliced from 2 exons. The record is from RefSeq and is a predicted model, not a curated record. NCBI's taxonomy places the organism in Eukaryota, Metazoa, Arthropoda, Insecta, Diptera, Tephritidae.
GAAUCAUUGGCACAUAUCUCCACCCAUUUCGAAAUGAAAUUUUGAAAUAAUUCAAAGAACAACUCUAUUCUCUUCCAAUAGAUGACGGAGAAGGUCAUGUUGGUACUGUUUGUGAGAUUGGACGCUCUGGAUCGACACACUCACCUGAAAAUACGGUUGUAAUUAAUUGGGAUUCUGGACAUAGAACAAAUUAUCGUGUUGGCUACCAAAAUCAAUACGAUUUAAUUAUUGUUGAUAACGCACAAGUUGGUGUACGCCAUUCGAAUGUUGUUUGUGAUGGCUGCUCUAAGCCGGGAAUAGCUGGCAUUGUUUUUAAAUGCGCCCAGUGUUCGAACUACCAUCUCUGUGCUUAUUGUUAUGGUGCGGAUUUGCACGAAACGGAUCAUUCAUUCAUUCGUUACACAACGCCUACAUCGCUAGGGUAUGUUUGAAUUGUUUCAGUUAAUAUUAUUUUAUUGAUUUGACUAAUUAACAACCUAUAAGUUGAUUAACGGGUUAUAACUAAAAAUCUGCACUAAUUAAAAAAAACAAAUCAAUUAAAA